CGUGCUAUGCAAAUGUCGCCCACGGGCGGCCAAUUGCCUGCGCUCCGCGCGCGGCUCCGAGCGUCCCGUCCCGCCAGCGGCCUCGAGACCUGAGCAGCUAGGGAACAAACCGCAGCGGUCCAGGGAGCCCCGAGCGCAGCGUAGAGCCAGGGUACGCUUCGAGGACCCGCGCAGCCCCGCUCGGUCUCCGGGCCCUAGUCAGACAGCCAGGCAAGCGCAGCGCCACCCGGCCGAGCCCAGCGCAGCGCUCUGUAGCCUAGCGCGCGCCACCGCCCGCGCCCCGCACCGGGGAAUGCGCCCUCGGCGCGCAGGCCAGGGGGCGCCCGCAGCCCGCCCCGGGGGAGGCGGCCCCGAGCGCCCCUGAGCCUUUCCAUGGCCCGGGCUAGGGCCCGGGGCCUCGGCUGCUGACGUGCACGAAGCCAGGGGACCCAGUGAAGCCGAGUCCGCGGUGCGGAUCCCGGCUCAGGCUAAGAGACAAGAGGGCGCGGACAGGGCCGUGGCCCGGGGGGGGGGCAGCUAAAGCGGACCGGCCGGACGCGAACCUCUCCGCUGCUGCGGCGGCCACCGCUGCCCGGGCGCCCAGGCCCCGCCGCCGUGGACGAGGUGUCCACAGAACUGGAGCCUGCUUCCUGGGCCCCAGGCCCCUCCCACGAUGCUUGUCACUGCCUUCAUCCUCUGGGCUUCCCUGCUGACCGGGGCCUGGCCUGCUACCCCUAUCCAGGACCAGCUUCCAGCCACACCUAGAGUCCGACUGUCAUUCAAAGAACUUAAGGCCACCGGUACCGCCCACUUCUUCAACUUUCUGCUCAACACUACAGACUACAGAAUCCUGCUCAAGGAUGAGGACCAUGACCGCAUGUAUGUGGGCAGCAAGGACUACGUGCUGUCCCUGGACCUGCAUGACAUCAACCGAGAGCCCCUUAUUAUCCAUUGGGCAGCCUCCCCGCAGCGCAUUGAGGAGUGCAUACUGUCAGGCAAGGAUGGCAAUGGAGAGUGUGGUAACUUCGUCCGGCUCAUCCAGCCUUGGAACCGAACACACCUGUAUGUGUGUGGGACCGGUGCCUACAACCCCAUGUGCACCUAUGUGAACCGUGGCCGUCGCGCACAGGCCCUACCGUGGACCCAGAUGCAGGUGGUCAGAGGCCGAGGCAGCAGGGCCACCGAUGGUGCCGACCGCCCGACGCCCACAGCCCCACGCCAGGAUUACAUCUUCUACCUGGAGCCUGAGAAACUGGAGUCAGGAAAAGGCAAAUGUCCCUAUGACCCCAAGCUGGACACAGCCUCAGCCCUCAUCAAUGAGGAACUCUAUGCAGGAGUGUACAUCGAUUUUAUGGGUACCGAUGCAGCCAUUUUCCGCACGCUGGGGAAGCAGACAGCCAUGCGCACAGAUCAGUACAACUCCCGGUGGCUCAAUGAUCCUUCCUUCAUACAUGCUGAGCUCAUCCCUGACAGUGCAGAGCGCAAUGACGAUAAACUCUACUUCUUCUUCCGAGAGCGCUCGGCAGAGGCGCCACAGAACCCUGCUGUGUAUGCCCGCAUCGGGCGCAUCUGCCUCAACGAUGACGGUGGCCAUUGCUGCCUGGUCAACAAGUGGAGCACAUUCCUGAAGGCUCGGCUCGUCUGCUCCGUGCCAGGCGAGGAUGGUAUUGAGACCCACUUCGACGAACUCCAGGAUGUGUUUGUCCAGCAGACCCAGGACGUCAGGAACCCAGUCAUUUAUGCUGUCUUUACCUCUUCAGGCUCUGUGUUCCGAGGGUCUGCAGUGUGUGUCUACUCCAUGGCUGAUAUCCGCAUGGUCUUCAAUGGGCCUUUUGCUCACAAGGAGGGCCCCAACUAUCAAUGGAUGCCCUUCUCAGGAAAGAUGCCCUAUCCUCGGCCUGGCACAUGCCCUGGUGGAACCUUCACGCCCUCGAUGAAGUCCACUAAGGACUACCCUGAUGAAGUGAUCAACUUCAUGCGCACUCAUCCGCUCAUGUACCAGGCCGUCUACCCGCUCCAGCGGCGACCCCUGGUGGUCCGUACAGGCGCUCCCUACCGCCUCACCACUGUCGCUGUGGACCAGGUGGAUGCAGCUGAUGGACGCUAUGAGGUGCUUUUCCUGGGCACAGCAUCCUCAGCCCCACUGAGGUCCUGCCCGGCCCGUUCCAGACCGCGGGACAGUGCAGAAGGUCAUCGUGCUGCCCAAGGACGACCAGGAGGUGGAAGAGCUGAUGCUAGAGGAAGUGGAGGUCUUCAAGGAACCAGCACCUGUUAAGACCAUGACCAUCUCUUCCAAGAGGCAACAACUGUAUGUGGCCUCAGCCGUGGGUGUCACACACCUGAGCCUGCACCGCUGCCAGGCCUAUGGAGCUGCCUGUGCCGACUGCUGCCUUGCCCGCGAUCCCUACUGUGCCUGGGAUGGCCAGGCCUGCUCUCGCUACACAGCAUCCUCCAAGAGGCGGAGUCGCCGGCAAGAUGUCCGCCACGGGAACCCUAUCAGACAGUGCCGUGGUUUCAAUUCCAAUGCAAACAAGAAUGCCGUAGAGUCUGUGCAGUACGGAGUGGCCGGCAGCGCAGCUUUCCUUGAGUGUCAGCCCCGCUCACCUCAAGCCACUGUCAAGUGGCUGUUCCAGCGAGAUCCCAGUGAUCGGCGCCGUGAGAUUCGCGCAGAGGACCGCUUCCUGCGUACAGAGCAGGGGCUGUUGCUUCGCGCCCUGCAGCUUGGUGACCGCGGCCUCUACUCCUGCACGGCCACUGAGAACAACUUCAAGCACAUCGUCACGCGGGUGCAGCUGCAUGUACUGGGCCGGGAUGCCGUCCAUGCUGCCCUCUUCCCCCCACUGGCUGUGAGCGUCCCUCCACCUCCUGGCACAGGCCCUCCAACGCCUCCUUACCAGGAGCUGGCCCAGCUCCUAGCCCAGCCGGAAGUGGGCCUCAUCCAUCAGUACUGCCAGGGUUACUGGCGCCACGUGCCCCCCAGACCCAGGGAGGCGCCAGGAGCACUUAGGCCUCCUGAACUCCAGGACCAGAAAAAGCCGAGGAACCGCCGCCACCACCCUCCGGACACAUGAGGCCAGCUGCUGGAGGCCUGCAUAGGACCAGCCUAGCCCCUCAUCCCUUUUAAUAUAAAAGAUAUAUAUAUAUAUAAAAAUAUCUAUAUUCUAUACAUACCCUACCCCUGCAAAGACAGUAUUUAUUGGUGGGUUGUAUAUAGCCUGCCUAGGUGGCAGCAUUAUCCAGAACUUAGACCCGUGUUGGUCAGCAAUGGCACAUGACUGAGCAAUGCCCAGCCCGGCCUAGGGAGUUGCCAGGGCCAGCCCGAGACCACACAGUCCCCAGACUCCAUGGAGAUCUCCCUGCUGAAGAGCUGUCAAGAUCUACAAAACACAGGGAGGGAGCGAGCCCUUCUUGUCAGGGCAUGGACCGCAUGCCUUUGCUGAUGCGCGUUGUCAUCUGUGCCUCGGCAUAGACGUGGACACCAGGAUUGCUGUGGAGUCUGGGGUGGGGGCUCAGGGCACUCGGAGGAGGGAGAAAGGGGCCAUCCCAGGAGACAGGCCCCUGCCUGGGACAGAGGUGCCUAGUCAAGGCCAACCUUUCCCAGGUAUUUUUUCCCUAUUUAUUGGGGACAGAAGAGACGUCUGUCUGGGUGAGGCAGAACCUUCUCUUCUCCCUUCCUUGCCUGUUGUCCUGGCAGGUCCAGCCCACUCUACCUCCUUAGCUUUUCCUGUGCCGCCUCGACUCAUGGGUGGGGCUGGGUGCGGGCAUGGCUUAAAAGAACCCCCCCCCCCGCCCUGAGGAUACACGGGCCGUGGUGGAGGCCCAGGGCCUGUCUGGCAUCCCCAAGUCUCCCUUCUGCCUACUGCCUCAGGUGACGGGUGUAACUAGCUCUGGAGGCAGUGGGGUAGAUGGUCUGGGGGAGGGGUGUCCUGCAGCCUCUGCUACCCAGGCCACAGCCACUCUUGGGUUCCAUCUUGCUAAUAAAUGCUGGCUCUGGGACUAGA
Mus musculus (house mouse) is the source of this 3980-nucleotide RNA transcript. It is a transcript of the gene named sema domain, immunoglobulin domain (Ig), short basic domain, secreted, (semaphorin) 3F, with no coding region annotated. The transcript has 19 exons. Lineage: Eukaryota; Metazoa; Chordata; Mammalia; Rodentia; Muridae. The record is from RefSeq and is marked validated.